AACGAACGCUGGCGGCAGGCCUAACACAUGCAAGUCGAACGCCCUAGCAAUAGGGAGUGGCAGACGGGUGAGUAACGCGUGGGAACGUGCCCUUCGGUUCGGAAUAACUCAGGGAAACUUGAGCUAAUACCGGAUACGUGCGAGAGCAGAAAGAUUUAUCGCCGAAGGAUCGGCCCGCGUCCGAUUAGCUAGUUGGUGAGGUAAUGGCUCACCAAGGCGACGAUCGGUAGCUGGUCUGAGAGGAUGAUCAGCCACACUGGGACUGAGACACGGCCCAGAAUCCGACGGGAGGCAGCAGUGGGGAAUAUUGGACAAUGGGCGCAAGCCUGAUCCAGCCAUGCCGCGUGAGGGAUGACGGCCUUCGGGUUGUAAACCUCUUUCAGCAUCGACGAAGCGCAAGUGACGGUAGGUGCAGAAGAAGGACCGGCCAACUACGUGCCAGCAGCCGCGGUAA
RNAcentral lists this ribosomal RNA (454 nucleotides) under uncultured bacterium. Its description in RNAcentral is "partial 16S ribosomal RNA". It matches the Rfam family "Bacterial small subunit ribosomal RNA", at positions 29 to 523 of the family's 1533-position model. The record is from RNAcentral.